Monopterus albus (swamp eel) is the source of this 942-nucleotide long non-coding RNA. RefSeq lists it as uncharacterized. The record is from RefSeq and is a predicted model, not a curated record. The transcript has 3 exons. Lineage: Eukaryota; Metazoa; Chordata; Actinopteri; Synbranchiformes; Synbranchidae.
GCCUGUGUACAGACUGCAUGCUGUUCUGUUCCUUUGUCCUCUUGCCAGAUCAUUUGAAGCACUUUCCUCUUCCCCUGGAUUUAUUGCUUGGCCUGGACUGUGACAAUCCUCUGACCCCUGUUUGGAGUCUUGUUCUGCUUCUGCUUGUCCCAGCCUGGACUCCUAGUUGUUGAGAUGCGCAGGCUUCACCUUCGACCAACCUGAUUUGAGUUUGUCAGAUGUGUUACCUCACCCCGCCGAGACCAGGCCAGCUGCUCCUCUCUCUUCUGCUCCUGUUCAUCAUGUUGGAGUCAGUGAAUAAAAGAAGAAGAAUGCAGGAGACCUGCAUGAGAAUAAUGGGAGAUGGGGAGGGUGGGUGUGAGUGGACUGAAUCAAGUCUAUCACAGUAGCCUGCAAGAGAGAGAGAUGGUUUUAUCAUCGCUGGCAUCUCUGUGUGUGACUACAAAUCUCGUGUAACUUUCCCAGUCUCUCCCUUCCCCUCCCACUCAUUCUCUACCACUUUGUUUUGUCUGCAUCGUUCCCCUGCUGCUGCCUGUCCUGCCAAAUCCCUGGGCAGUUUGGCUGGAAUAUCAAUGAAUCAGUCUCUAUUAAGCUCUUGUAUAUAUGAAGCUGCAAGUGAAGCAAAACCACAGUGCCUGAUGAAACUGAUGUGAGUGAGCAGCAGUGCCUCUGGUAAGGCACUAGACUCUCUGCUGGAGACCAGCAUGAGCUACUCUGGAGAGCUAGAGCUCAGACUUCAUUUGUUACUAUGCAAUAAUUAAGUUUUAUUCACAGGGAGGAUAGCUGAAGAAAAAAAAAGGUUAUAAAGAUAAAAUAGAGGUUGUCUCCAGGAGGGAGAUGGGAGGUGGGCAGGAGUCAGUGAAGUCCACUUGUGCUUUACAACACAGCCUGUGGGACUGGAACACCUCUGUGCAGCAUCACAUCCCAUUUCACACUAAAUUC